RNAcentral lists this unclassified non-coding RNA (387 nucleotides) under soil metagenome. RNAcentral's name for it is "partial contains 5.8S ribosomal RNA, internal transcribed spacer 2, and large subunit ribosomal RNA". The stretch from base 1 to 120 matches the Rfam family "5.8S ribosomal RNA", at positions 35 to 154 of the family's 154-position model. The record is from RNAcentral.
GAUGAAGAACGCAGCGAAAUGCGAUAAGUAAUGUGAAUUGCAGAAUUCAGUGAAUCAUCGAAUCUUUGAACGCACCUUGCACCCUUUGGUAUUCCGAAGGGUAUGCUCGUUUGAGUGUCAUUGUACUCUCACACUUCUAAUUCCUUUCGGGAUUGGGAGCGGUGGACUUGGGUGUUGCUGCUUUAGUUGUGGCUCACCUCAAAUAAGUUAGUGCAACUCUUGGUUGGACAUAGUACGGCGUGAUAAGUGUCUUCGCCGGCGCCUCUGUAAGGAGGGUGGCCGAUCGGGAGCUCUGUGCUUCAAACCGUCUUCGGACAAUCUUUGACAACUUGGCCUCAAAUCGAGUAGGACUACCCGCUGAACUUAAGCAUAUCAAUAAGCGGAGGA